This 550-nucleotide ribosomal RNA is filed under the name uncultured bacterium. Its description in RNAcentral is "bacterial SSU rRNA". It matches the Rfam family "Bacterial small subunit ribosomal RNA", at positions 355 to 896 of the family's 1533-position model. The record is from RNAcentral.
UAGGGAAUCUUCGGCAAUGGACGGAAGUCUGACCGAGCAACGCCGCGUAAGUGAAGAAGGUUUUCGGAUCGUAAAGCUCUGUUGUAAGAGAAGAACGAGUGUGAGAGUGGAAAGUUCACACUGUGACGGUAUCUUACCAGAAAGGGACGGCUAACUACGUGCCAGCAGCCGCGGUAAUACGUAGGUCCCGAGCGUUGUCCGGAUUUAUUGGGCGUAAAGCGAGCGCAGGCGGUUAGAUAAGUCUGAAGUUAAAGGCUGUGGCUUAACCAUAGUACGCUUUGGAAACUGUUUAACUUGAGUGCAAGAGGGGAGAGUGGAAUUCCAUGUGUAGCGGUGAAAUGCGUAGAUAUAUGGAGGAACACCGGUGGCGAAAGCGGCUCUCUGGCUUGUAACUGACGCUGAGGCUCGAAAGCGUGGGGAGCAAACAGGAUUAGAUACCCUGGUAGUCCACGCCGUAAACGAUGAGUGCUAGGUGUUAGACCCUUCCCGGGGUUUAGUGCCGCAGCUAACGCAUUAAGCACUCCGCCUGGGGAGUACGACCGCAAGGUUG